Molecule: non-coding RNA, 214 nt
Filed under: Domibacillus aminovorans
Lineage: Bacteria; Bacillati; Bacillota; Bacilli; Caryophanales; Bacillaceae
Description: Bacillus aminovorans T-box sequence
Rfam family: T-box leader
About the family: Uncharged tRNA acts as the effector for transcription antitermination of genes in the T-box leader family. T-boxes are found upstream of many aminoacyl-tRNA synthetase genes and some amino acid biosynthetic genes usually in Gram-positive bacteria.
Source: RNAcentral
ACGAAUACGAUGAUCGGAAAAAGUACAGUUGUUUUGCUCGUUACAGAGAGCCAGGGGAUGGUGGAAACCCGGCACGCAGCAACAGCUCGAAUGGGUCCGUGAGUGGCAGCUUGAACAUUGAAAGUAGAGCGCCCGGCAGCCGUCCGUUAACCGGUUUUAAGGGGAAGCAAUUUUGCUUCAACGAGAGGUGGCACCGCGGGAAACCGUCCUCCAU